RNAcentral lists this ribosomal RNA (507 nucleotides) under uncultured bacterium. Its description in RNAcentral is "partial 16S ribosomal RNA". It matches the Rfam family "Bacterial small subunit ribosomal RNA", at positions 28 to 507 of the family's 1533-position model. The record is from RNAcentral.
GACGAACGCUGGCGGCGUGCCUAAUACAUGCAAGUCGAACGCAUUUUCUUUCACCGUAGCUUGCUACACCGAAAGAAAAUGAGUGGCGAACGGGUGAGUAACACGUGGGUAACCUGCCCAUCAGCGGGGGAUAACACUUGGAAACAGGUGCUAAUACCGCAUAAUUCCAUUUACCGCAUGGUAGAUGGAUGAAAGGCGCUUUUGCGUCACUGAUGGAUGGACCCGCGGUGCAUUAGCUAGUUGGUGGGGUAACGGCCUACCAAGGCUGCGAUGCAUAGCCGACCUGAGAGGGUGAUCGGCCACACUGGGACUGGGACACGGCCCAGACUCCUACGGGAGGCAGCAGUAGGGAAUCUUCGGCAAUGGACACAAGUCUGACCGAGCAACGCCGCGUGAGUGAAGAAGGUUUUCGGAUCGUAAAACUCUGUUGUUAGAGAAGAACAAGGAUGAGGGUGGAAAGUUCAUCCCUUGACGGUAUCUAACCAGAAAGCCACGGCUAACUACGUG